CAUCUGUUCAGCCAGCGGCAUCGGCAUGGGCAUGGACCGCGCCUUGGUUUUGCCCAUUCUUUUCCGGUUCCCGUCGGCGUCAGCUUGCUGAUUUGCGACUGCUAUAAAUGGAGGCAGCGAGGAGGUGGCGCACAAACCAUCGACCAGCCCCGAUCGGGAAAGUUUCAGGUCGGACCGCCGGAGUAGCUAGCUAGGUGUGUGUGACAGUGUGAUACUUGAGAGAGCUAGCUAGCUCUAGCUGGGGAGUAUAGUUUUGCAGAGAUGGCCGAGAGCAGGAGAAGAGGAGGGGCCGGCCUCGCAUGGCGAUGAGAGCACUGCUCUGGUAGCCAAGGAUGACUUGCCUGUGGCCUCCACUCCACCUGCGGCAGGAGGCUCUUCUUCUGCGCGCGCGUGUGUGUGUGGUUGUCGAUCGCAGGCAGUCUCCUUGGCUAGCCUCAGCGGCUCUCAUCCUUCAUGCCAGGCUCGUCUCUUCUUCAGUUUAAUUUCAUCACUUGCUGCACUGCAAUGUUCGGUCAGCAGUGCAUGGAUGCAACAUGAGAAUAAUUUUCAUUCAGUCUACUACGUCCCCGGCCUCAUCGCAACACCUUGAACAACCUUGGCUUUGGUGUGUUCUGUGACCUCCAGCAAGGGACGAAGGGACACUAACUGGGGGUUUUCAGGCACGUACGUUGAAAUGGAGAAGGAACACACAAAGGGGUACAGAUGACAAGAUGGAGAUGAUCAGACCAAUUCACGAGUUAACGGCACUUUAUUUGCCCUUCUGUUCAUUUCUUAUUCCUGCUUCAGAGUGAAGCCAGAGAGGUGGUUAUGGGUAAAGUUUAUUUUGCCUUUGAGGGCAUGUGCCCUCACUUUCUCAUUUAUUGGAUUCGCUGAGAUGUGUAUUUGCACACUUCUCAAAGCAAACUCAAUGGGUGAGAGAGUGAGGGCAUGUGCGCUUAAGGGGAAAAAAAACCGUCUUUGGUGGUUAUGCAAUAGAACAAUACUUUCUUCAGUUAGAGCUUUCUUACAGUGCUCCGGCAGAUGUACCAAAUUUAAUUAAUAGUAUCUAUUUUUUUAUGAGAUGGAAUGAAAUUUUUUUUC
Long non-coding RNA from Sorghum bicolor (sorghum), 1080 nucleotides. RefSeq lists it as uncharacterized. The transcript has 2 exons. Lineage: Eukaryota; Viridiplantae; Streptophyta; Magnoliopsida; Poales; Poaceae. The record is from RefSeq and is a predicted model, not a curated record.